ACCUACGGGGGGCAGCAGUGGGGGAUAUUGCACAAUGGGGGAAACCCUGAUGCAGCGACGCCGCGUGGGUGAAGAAGCGCCUCGGCGCGUAAAGCCCUGUCAGCAGGGAAGAAAAUGACGGUACCUGAAGAAGAAGCCCCGGCUAACUACGUGCCAGCAGCCGCGGUAAUACGUAGGGGGCAAGCGUUAUCCGGAUUUACUGGGUGUAAAGGGGGCGCAGACGGCGAUGCAAGCCAGGAGUGAAAGCCCGGGGCCCAACCCCGGGACUGGUCUUGGCGCUGCGGGGCUAGGGUGCGGGAGGGGCG
Molecule: ribosomal RNA, 305 nt
Filed under: uncultured bacterium
Lineage: Bacteria
Description: bacterial SSU rRNA
Rfam family: Bacterial small subunit ribosomal RNA
Source: RNAcentral